RNAcentral lists this long non-coding RNA (214 nucleotides) under Vigna radiata. RNAcentral's name for it is "long non-coding RNA (VRAD_LNC014071)". The record is from RNAcentral. Lineage: Eukaryota; Viridiplantae; Streptophyta; Magnoliopsida; Fabales; Fabaceae.
GAGAGUGCAUUAAGAGGGGAUAUCUUUGUAUUCUUAUGGAUAUGUGCUUCCUUUUGCCUUGUAUGCAUUGGAAGGGUUGUUCGGGUAUUGAACCUUCCUUGUGUGUGGGUGAAGGUGUCUUCCUUGUCCUCGUGUAGUAGGAUUACAUGUUCCUUAGCUAGAUUUUGGGACUACUUGAACGUAUCUGUAUGAGGAAUCUACAAAUUGGGUUGUA